UGCUGGAGGUAUCAGAAGUGCGAAUGCUGACAUAAGUAACGAUAAAGCGGGUGAAAAGCCCGCUCGCCGGAAGACCAAGGGUUCCUGUCCAACGUUAAUCGGGGCAGGGUGAGUCGACCCCUAAGGCGAGGCCGAAAGGCGUAGUCGAUGGACAACAGGUAGAAAUUCCUGUACUACAAGAUUGUGAUUGAGAGAAGUACUGACGCAGAAGGAAAAGUCGAGCGUGUGAAUGGUAGAGCACGUCCAAGUAACAA
RNAcentral lists this ribosomal RNA (254 nucleotides) under Chaetoceros curvisetus. Its description in RNAcentral is "partial Bacterial large subunit ribosomal RNA". It matches the Rfam family "Bacterial large subunit ribosomal RNA", at positions 1271 to 1522 of the family's 2925-position model. Lineage: Eukaryota; Bacillariophyta; Thalassiosirophyceae; Chaetocerotales; Chaetocerotaceae. The record is from RNAcentral.